GGCGGAACUGACCAGGGCGUUUCUUUCCUGGGCGUCAGUGACGUCCUCCCACAUUAUGGGCGGAAAUGCAUGCUGGUAGCUUAGAAAGUGCUGGUUCGCCAAGGAAAAGAACGCUUUCUCGGGGAGUGAGCGAGGAUGAGUCACUUCGCAACAUCAUCAAGGAGACUGAGAGUCCGGCCAGGCGCCUGACACGCAGUGACAGCAGAGGAGGGAACUUUAAGUGGAGAAGUGGCAGUCAGCAGUCUGACGAGGAUCAAGAACUGAUCAUGGAACUCCCUGAAAUGUUUGAUCUGCAAGCGAGUUAUGACGAUGUAGUGCAGGAGCUGCGUGGGCUGGAGCUGCAGCGAGAGACUCUGUUGUUCCAGGUGGACGUUCUGCAGGACGCCCUGGAGGGGGCUGAGGAGAUGCUGGCCGAGGCCCAGAGAGAGGCCAGCCACACCACCAUGGAGUUGGAGCGAGAGAGGGAGUCCAAGAGGAAGUUGGAAGACAUGGUCAGCUCUCUGUUGCAGGCGGUGGAGAGGUUAGAAGAGGAGAAGAAUACCAAACCAGCAGUGCACAUGCUCGUCAGGGAGCAGGAGAUGGCUGGACAACAAGCACAAGAGAUGGACAUCAAAAAGGAAGGACCGGAUCAAAUCGGGAAUGCACCCAGGGAUGAGGGCAGCGAGAGCCCCAGUCCGAAUAACCGGCUGUCAUUACAGAAGGCCAAUGGGGAGCAGCCGUUGGACAGUCUGUCCCAGCCCCCCCUUCUCAAGAAAGCUGUGUCGGGGUCCUCUGUGGACUCUGAGUAUGUAGAGAAAAGGGCAGAUGACAGCUUCAAAUUAAAUAAUAUGACCAAUACGUUUACUGGGCCACUGGUGCUGGAAAGCCAAAGCCAUUGGGACAGCCAGGCAGAGGAUGGGCGUGACCGGUCUCCUGACAGGAACAACGACACAGAUAGCAUCAGCGCAUACGAAGACGCCUGUGCCGAAACACCCGAGCUGGAUGAGGGCGAUGGGCCAAGGCUGCCCCAUGAUGAAGGCUCCCCAGUGGAUGACAUUGAGGGGGAACUUAUCUUAAAUGGCAGUGAGCCCAAAAACCCCAAUGAUUCUUGCGUUCUGUCGUAAGAGUUACAGAAGUGUCAUGGCACGAAGGGUGACAUCUGCUCUGAGAUCACUGCUCUUACUUUCUUUCCCUUGAUAAUAUAAUGCCAUUCAGCAGAUGCCAUUUAAAGUAAUGGGUGCAUAUAUAUUUUUUACGUUUUAGAAAGUAGUUAAAUACAAUAUUUUCCUGGACCAGGGCUCUCAUACAGUACAAUCCAUCUACACCUAUGUAAGUGUAGAGUAAACACAGAGUUAUCUGAAUACAAUCAGGUAGGGUGGCAUUUCAAUAAUGUUUACAGAUGCCUAUAAAAUCAAUCUCUCUCCCUCGGCAUGUUUGGGAUGACGUGCAAGUCAUAGUUUUCCCGCUGUUUGGUUUUCCACCUCCCUUGGUUACUUAGUGGCUGAUAAUUCAUAACUCUAGGGUUUGCACACACUGAACAAUUGUGUGUUUUAGGAAAGACAGAAGACCUCUAGCAUUCUAAACGGGUGUAUUAUGUAAUUUGUAGAUAACAACAUAUUUUAGUGUUUUCAGUCGGUUAAGGCCCUAUUCAAAGAUGUUUGUUCCACAUCAAAACUAGGAUUCCAACAUCCAUCAUCGCAGAUUGUUCUGAAAUUGGUUCUGUUAUUAAACAUAUUAGUAAAAAAUCAAAUUUCAUCCCUGAAAAACAGUUACAUUCAAAUUGACCAUUUGUCUUACUGAAAUGGAAUGACUGCUGAUCUAGGACCAGGACCUCAUCUGUCCAUGUAAUCUUAUAAAUCAUGUUUAGAAAGGCCAAAUAUUCUCAGCAAUAGAACCAUGCUUACAUAUAAGUAGUUGUCACAAAGUGCUUAAACAGAUAUCCAGCCUAAGAUCAGAACAAGCAAAGCAGAUUUUGAAGCAUAGUGCAGAUUUUGAAUAAUUUAGGCCUAGAUUAACAACUAGGUAGACUGUGGAAAGGGACAGCAAGGAGUUGUCAGGCCAGGAAUGGUCCAGGACUCUCCUUGGUUGAGUGAGUUUGGGCCAUGAACAGAACACUAACUAACCUGAGACAAGGCUGAGUAUAGCCCACAAAGUACUCCCAGAACACAAUGCCAUUUAGUAUAAUGAAAUUACCCUGGCAUGUUGUGAUGCACCCUCUUAGGGACAGCAUGUGAAAGUGCAAUUAAGCCAGUGACUCAGACUUGUUUAUAAGUGGAGAGAGAGGCUGGUCAUGCAGGGUCGUCCGUUUAAUGAUUUGCAAGUUAUACUUAAAUCAGCCCUAGCCUAACAGGCAGUCAAUGUUCAGAGGCUAGUACUGCAGUGAUAGGAUUUAUUUUUGGGGGGAGUUCUGGUCAAGAGUUCUGGUUAUUUAAUCAGCCUUGUUGAAGCUCUAGUUGAAGAUUUAUUUAGUUGAUAAUUAGCCUGAAAAAAGAUUACUCAAUCUUUUAUCGUUUUCCAAUCUAAAGAUUUGCCUUUUUGCAGAUGUUACUAAGCUAAACUAAAAAAAGCUGUUAUUGAAGUAUUGGUUUGCAUGUUUGUCAAAAUAGAGACCAGUUCAGAGUAACGGUUUGGUACUUCAGGUUUGUUUGAGAUUAUUUUAAAACCAUCAACAUUCAGUGUCAGUCCUUGGAACUAAGAACUAGUUUCUCUGUUUUAUUCUUGUUUAAAACUAGAUUCUACCAUUUACAUUUAUAUCUAAAGCACAGGCUUCCAAUUUAGUUAGUUGUCUGCCUGGUUAUGUUUCAUUGAAAUGGACAGCCUUGUAUGGUCUGUACAGCAGUGAAGAUUGAGUGUUUCUGAAUGACGCCAAAAUAUACGAUGUAGCAAAAGUUGCCCUGAAACAGAACUUUGACAUUUACCUUUUUAUUUGAAGGACAGACCAACCACCAGGGUAACUGAUAUAUUUCAAAAACAUACAAUCUGAACUGGGCUAAAUGUUAUCCAUGUAAACAUUUACCCAGUCUCUACAAAUGAAUGUUGUGAUCGAUUUUUGUUGAAGGUGGCAGGUCAAGAAAGAGGACCAGUUAUUAAGAAUCAUGAUUUAACACUACUGAAAUGUAAUUAACCACCUUUAGGAUUGCAAUCAGACUGUUUUACAUAUAUUGUUUGUGUUUAGGAAUGCAUGAGUUGCCAGGGGUGAGUUAUAACAUGUUACAUGUAAUGUGAUAUAGGUAAUUAAGUAAUUUUCAGGAAUAAGUAAGUUUAUUCCUGGGGUUUAUUGUCUAACUGUGGACAUGUAUUUCUAAAUGUGAGUACAUUUCAGUUCAUGUAACAGUGCUUUAGUACAGAUUUUCAGUACUCUAACCACCCCUGUGAGUUGCUGUGGAAUGGCUUUAUAAAAGCAAACUACUAGUAACUCAGAGGAAUGGAAGAUUCAAUAUACUGUUGUUCAUCAGUUUAUUUUUUAAAAGGUUCUGCGUAAAGGUUUGUCUUUUUUAGAUGAAGCUUUAUUACUGCCUCUGUCGGUGUAUUUGGUACACAUCCAGAGGAUAUGGUUGUACAUAGGAAGGCCAAGCACAGGAAGUCGCUCAUUUAGUUGGAAUAAGGUGCAGUAGAGAGCUGGAAGUUUUGGAGGCCUUAACAUUUUCUCAAUGUUGAGGGAUACGAGAAAAAACAAUACUUGAGUGUCUCUAUUGUUACAAGGUCCUAGCAGUUCACUGCGGACUCAGGACAAACACAUUUUAGAAAAAAUCUCUAUUUAGGGAGAAGUCUUAGUUAUGUUUAUAAUGAUCAUUCUUUUUUAUUCAAAAAGGUUCAUGGCUUUGUCCCUGAUAAUGUAAUUGAUGUUUUAAAUUUGCAGCUGCAUCAAAACACUUUCAUAUAUUUUUAUUAUUUUCAGUCAAGCAGGAAUAAGUUUUCUUUUAUUUUACACAGUACUUUCCUGUAGUUAGAGGACUUAUUUUUGUGGAUCAUUCCAAUUUUCUGCUUCAGGUUUUGAUUAAAUUCUGCAUACAGGGAGCUAGUUUCUUGUGGCAGAAAAUAUUUUCUACAUUGUAAUCUCAGAAAAUGUCCAUAAUAAACCUGCACUAAUAGUGGAAUGAUACUGUUCCACAACAUUUGCUCACUGAAAAUGAUGUGGGUUAAUAGAAAAGCACAUUCCAAAAUACUGAAUUUUUAUUGGUCAAAGUGACAACCCCUCUCUUCCAUCACUAAGACACACUAGCAACCAGCGAACGCAGAAGUCAGCAAGCAAAAUCUGUCAUUUCUGGGUUGCUAACAUUCUACACAGGUCACUCAAUUUCUCUUCAAGUAAGAAAGCAAUCACUGAAUAUUGUAGGAAAUCGUUAUUACACCCAAAUUGCUUUUUACAUUUUUGAAAUAUUCAACAAUGUAGUUUUUACAACUUUUGUAAGCUGGUUGACCAAAAGUGAAUUUCUAUUUUUUAUUUGGUGUAAUUCAGUUGAUUCCCACAAGGUGGAAGCAAAUUAGGGAUAUUACCUUUAAUGUUGCAGAAAUCCCCAGUAGUGGGUGCUGUGGAACAAUUUUCCAGUAUGUAUUUUGCUUGGUUAUGCCUGGAUGGUAAAGUAUAAUCUAGCUCUUCCCUUCACGGUCAGGUAUUGAUCUACUUCAUCACAUGGCUAUCACCAGUUAGUGUGUGUGUGUGUGUGUGUGUGUGUGUGAAUGAUGUUGUCUCUGUAUAUUAACUCAUGGGCUGUGUUGUUCUACUCUAACUGUGAGUUGUGUAACAGACACGCAGAGCUGAGUUACAUUUCUUUCAGUUUAUAUCCUCAGUGAGGUUUAACAGGUUUUCUAUUAUUCUAACGUCCCUAGCUAGAGGGAGUCUGGAGACCUUUAUGCGUUUGUGUUGUCAAGAAAUGUACAGACUUUUAGAAGUCUUAGUUUAAGGUCAAAGUGAUGUUGUGGUUUCUGGAAGUGUAAUAAUUGAUAGUCCAGUAGCCCAGAUACAGGUGGAAAAAACUACAAAACCCAGUGAGUUGAUAAUGACUCUAAAGACCUUUCGAUGUAGUCCGUGAGGAACGCUGUAUUCUGCUCGGGAAGCUUGUAAACAUUAGCUAUAAAUAGUGAUUGAGUAGGAUGUACAGAUUUCAUGACCAAAUUCAAAUACUGCACACUGAAGAAAAAGCUGCAAAGCUGAGAAAUCUGUGUAUGGUAUCCUAAUGCGUAGGUCUGCAAAAUAAUUCCUAUCCGUUUUGUUUUUAGCUCAUUUAAAUGUGAUGCAUUUUAGCGCCACCUCUGCAGAAUGCACAGCUCCACGGAGGAUAUGAUCACUAGCUUCACCAGCAAGACAGGCCAUACAUCAGGUUCAUGAUCAAUGAUUAGUCGACAGUAAAUGCCUUCAACCAAGGGAGCUAACAUUAAGUAGUCUCGACGUGAGAUGUGAGGUAUUAUCACAACCUGUUAAUUAAUGACAGAAAUCGGGGAAGUCUUGUAUUCAUGUACAAUUACUGAGGCCACCACCGUGUUUAGUUGUAAUCAAACUUGCUCGAAGCACAGACAACCUGCUAUCUGGGCAAGAGGAGGUAACUGUUGUCUAUGGCUGGAUUGUAGGAGAGGCCAGUUAUCUGCCUAUGCUAUGUUCACAGAAGGGUAGACAUCUGUUUGCAAUAAGCAAUGGAGUUGUGUGGGUCAGCUUUAUAUCACCGACCCUCCUACUCUGAGAUGCUUUAUGUACACUGUCCCAGAUACAGGCAAGACUGUAAUCACAUCAGGCAGACAAAGCCAGCUACUAAAGCUACAGGGAAUGUUCUUAGGGAGUUCUUUUGAUUUAUGGAUAUAAAACCACGUUUGUUUUUUUUACUGUCUCACAGGCCGUCACAGGGACAUUUCUUUUGAUAUACAAGAAGGACAUGGUGCCUUUCAUGCUGAAUUUACUGAAUUUAAUCAAGCUUUAAAUAUUAUAACAUGUCUAUUGUUUGAAGUUGAACAUAGUAUAAUACUAAGUGAAAUUGCGUUUCAUUUAAUAAUACAAAUGUAAUGAACCUGAGUAUACUUUCUAUGUACAGUAACAGUACUGCAUGCUAGUAGUCCUUGUAAGUAUAGGUCAUGUUUGCACAACUGUAGUGAAACUACAGAAUUGGGGAAUACCUUACAUGUUAUUCUUUUGUUUUUGACAUUGCUGAGCAAUGUUUGCUUUGUUUUUGUUCUGUCUCCACGCCUUAACUUUAACACAAGAUCAUCAUUUGAAGAGUUACAAACAUUGCUGCCCUUUAACCUGUUUAGAGGAUUUUGGCUGCAGCCCAAAUGGUGCCCUAUUUUUUUUGUAGUAAAUUACUAUUGACCAGGGCCCAUAGCGCUCUAGUCAAAAGUGGUGCCUUAUGAAGGGAGUGGAGUGCCAUUUGGUUUGUGCAUACAGUAACAUUCCUGUACUAUACAUGUUUGAAGAUGGAGAGGUCAAAUGUAUUUGAUGUUUUUUAAUCCUCCUUUUUUUUUAAGUUUCCAGUGCUUCUGUUUCUAAGACUUUCUCUUUUCUUAUUGAAAAGUACACCGUGCUGCUGCAUGUGUUUUAUGAAUUUGGUUGCAAAUCGUACACUGUGUCCACUUUUUGUAAUGUUGGGGAUUUCUGUGUCAAGUCAGAAUGGAGUUCUUACUUUGACACUGUGAAUAGGUUUUUUCUCAUUGUCUUUAUUGCUUGAAUUUCUGUUUCUGCAGGAGAUAUGAACUCUACUUGUAACGUUUCUAAAGGUUUUCUAAUUGUAAGGUUUCUCUACUUGUAAGGUUUCUACAGUUUUUGCAAUAGUGUUCUGGUUAUAAUGAUGAACGGUUAUGUGUCAUAUUGUUAAAGCUCCUCAAUUUCACAAUUUAUCUAGGAACAAUAAGAUAUUUUCUGAAAACAAUAAAUAUCUAUCUUUGAUACAAAAUCUAAGUAGUUGUUAUUCCUGCAGGGUCUCGGCACAGUGGUGUCCAAUAGCAUGCUGAAGUAGGUUUCCACAACUAGUUUGUGGUUUGUACUUGCAAACAGGAUUUGCUGCAUCAUUUGACAUGCUUUAAAAUGUGUUAUAUAUUUAUAUAUAAUUCCUGAGUGAUAAUGCUUAUGCUUAUCAAUGUUUUCACCAAAUGUUUUAAAAACACAUUUUAUGUAUUUG
Esox lucius (northern pike) is the source of this 7082-nucleotide long non-coding RNA. NCBI's taxonomy places the organism in Eukaryota, Metazoa, Chordata, Actinopteri, Esociformes, Esocidae. The record is from Ensembl.